GACGAACGCUGGCGGCGUGCCUAAUACAUGCAAGUCGAACGAGAGCGACCGGUGCUUGCACUGGUCAAUCUAGUGGCGAACGGGUGAGUAACACGUGGGUAACCUGCCCAUCAGAGGGGGAUAACAUCCGGAAACGGAUGCUAAAACCGCAUAGGUCUUCGAACCGCAUGGUUUGAAGAGGAAAAGAGGCGCAAGCUUCUGCUGAUGGAUGGACCCGCGGUGCAUUAGCUAGUUGGUGAGGUAACGGCUCACCAAGGCCGUGAUGCAUAGCCGACCUGGGAGGGUGAUCGGCCACAUUGGGACUGAGACACGGCCCAAACUCCUACGGGAGGCAGCAGUAGGGAAUCUUCCGCAAUGGACGCAAGUCUGACGGAGCAACGCCGCGUGAGUGAAGAAGGUUUUCGGAUCGUAAAACUCUGUUGUUAGAGAAGAACAAGUGCUAGAGUAACUGUUAGCGCCUUGACGGUAUCUAACCAGAAAGCCACGGCUAACUACGUG
Molecule: ribosomal RNA, 498 nt
Filed under: uncultured bacterium
Lineage: Bacteria
Description: partial 16S ribosomal RNA
Rfam family: Bacterial small subunit ribosomal RNA
Source: RNAcentral